Molecule: non-coding RNA, 99 nt
Organism: Paramuricea clavata
Lineage: Eukaryota; Metazoa; Cnidaria; Anthozoa; Malacalcyonacea; Plexauridae
Source: the annotation of a GenBank genome assembly
UGAAGAAAACAUUGCUAUACUGUUUGGGCUAGAAUACAAUUUUCCUAAAGGAUUCCUUUAGGAAAAUUGUAUUCUAGCCCAAACAGUAUAAUUGUAUUC